AGAGUUUGAUCAUGGCUCAGAUUGAACGCUGGCGGCAUGCCUUACACAUGCAAGUCGGACGGCAGCGCGGGGGCAACCCUGGCGGCGAGUGGCGAACGGGUGAGUAACACGUGAGUAACCUGCCCUUCACUUCGGGAUAACCUCGGGAAAUCGUGGCUAAUACCGGAUAUGAGCUCCUUCCGCAUGGUGGGGGUUGGAAAGAUUUAUCGGUGAGGGAUGGACUCGUGGCCUAUCAGCUUGUUGGUGGGGUAAUGGCCUACCAAGGCGACGACGGGUAGCCGGCCUGAGAGGGUGACCGGCCACACUGGGACUGAGACACGGCCCAGACUCCUACGGGAGGCAGCAGUGGGGAAUAUUGCACAAUGGGCGCAAGCCUGAUGCAGCGACGCCGCGUGAGGGAUGACGGCCUUCGGGUUGUAAACCUCUUUCAGUAGGGAAGAAGCCGCAAGGUGACGGUACCUGCAGAAGAAGCGCCGGCUAACUACGUGCCAGCAGCCGCGGUAAUUC
RNAcentral lists this ribosomal RNA (507 nucleotides) under uncultured bacterium. Its description in RNAcentral is "bacterial SSU rRNA". It matches the Rfam family "Bacterial small subunit ribosomal RNA", at positions 8 to 526 of the family's 1533-position model. The record is from RNAcentral.